CUGAGGUGAGGAGAAGCUGUGCGCUGUGUCCGCCUGCCCCAGAGGUCUCACACCUGCCCCGCGGGACCCCGACCUGCCCCGGGGGACCCCGACCGCGAGUCCCUUUCGAGGAGGUGUGGAAGGUUGAUGAAAGCCUCCGGGUUUAAGGCGAGGUGGAAGGACUGAGUUAAAGUGUACGGGAUGUUUUCUACUCACCCGAGGACCGGGACGCAGAGUGACCUUAGAACCUCAUCAAUGCCAUCUGGCUGUGAAGUAACCAGCAAGGCUACAAGAUUUCUUGACAUAGACUGCUGGGAAGCGAGGACAUGGGUUUGAUUCCCAGCACCCACAUGGCCA
This is a long non-coding RNA of Nannospalax galili (Upper Galilee mountains blind mole rat), 336 nucleotides long. RefSeq lists it as uncharacterized. The transcript is spliced from 3 exons. NCBI's taxonomy places the organism in Eukaryota, Metazoa, Chordata, Mammalia, Rodentia, Spalacidae. The record is from RefSeq and is a predicted model, not a curated record.